This 241-nucleotide ribosomal RNA is filed under the name uncultured bacterium. RNAcentral's name for it is "partial 16S ribosomal RNA". It matches the Rfam family "Bacterial small subunit ribosomal RNA", at positions 15 to 235 of the family's 1533-position model. The record is from RNAcentral.
GAUCAUGGCUCAGGACGAACGCUGGCGGCGUGCUUAACACAUGCAAGUCGAACGAGAAUCUGUUGGAUCGAGGAUUCGUCCAAGUGAAGCAGAGGACAGUGGCGGACGGGUGAGUAACGCGUGAGGAACCUGCCUUUCAGAGGGGGACGAACAGUUGGAAACGACUGCUAAUACCGCAUGAUACGUUUUAGGGGCAUCCCUGAGACGUCAAAGAGUUUAUACGCUGAAAGAUGGCCUCGCG